GACGAACGCUGGCGGCGUGCUUAACACAUGCAAGUCGAACGGAAAGGCCCUGCUUUUGUGGUGUGCUCGAGUGGCGAACGGGUGAGUAACACGUGAGUAACCUGCCCUUGACUUUGGGAUAACUUCAGGAAGCUGGGGCUAAUACCGGAUAUGAGCUCCUGCUGCAUGGUGUGGGUUGGAAAGUUUCGGCGGUUGGGGAUGGACUCGCGGCUUAUCAGCUUGUUGGUGGGGUAGUGGCUUACCAAGGCUUUGACGGGUAGCCGGCCUGAGAGGGUGACCGGACACAUUGGGACUGAGAUACGGCACAGACUCCUACGGGAGGCAGCAGUGGGGAAUAUUGCACAAUGGGAGGAAGCCUGAUGCAGCAACGCAGCGUGCGGGAUGACGGCCUUCGGGUUGUAAACCGCUUUCGCCUGUGACGAAGCGUGAGUGACGGUAAUGGGUAAAGAAGCACCGGCUAACUACGUG
RNAcentral lists this ribosomal RNA (468 nucleotides) under uncultured bacterium. RNAcentral describes it as "partial 16S ribosomal RNA". It matches the Rfam family "Bacterial small subunit ribosomal RNA", at positions 28 to 507 of the family's 1533-position model. The record is from RNAcentral.